Molecule: unclassified non-coding RNA, 228 nt
Filed under: uncultured Ceratobasidium
Lineage: Eukaryota; Fungi; Basidiomycota; Agaricomycetes; Cantharellales; Ceratobasidiaceae
Description: partial internal transcribed spacer 2
Source: RNAcentral
AAAUUCUCAAAGUAAACCUUUUGUUAAUUCAAUUGGUUCUGCUUUGGACUUGGAGGUCUUUUGCGGAUUAACAUCUGCUCCUCUUAAAUUUAUUAGCUGGAUCUCAGUAUAUGCUUGGUUCCACUCGGCGUGAUAAGUUAUCACUCGCUGAGGACACUGUAAAAGGUGGCCAGGAAAUACAGAUGAACCGCUUCUAAUAGUCUAUUAAAUUAGACAAUUAAUUUUAAG